UUUGCCUAUGAACGGAGCGUGUGGCUAGGGUCGUUCAUUACAACUAUGGCCGACACUGAGCUGCAUCGUGUCCGUGUCGUUUGUCAUAUUUCCUCUUUUACAGGUAAGAACGAGUGUUGUAUUAGGGUUGAUCAAUGUAUAUAUGUGUUUCAAUACUGUAAGAAACAUGCGGGAGUAGAUGUUAAUGAUGGUAAUCAUCUAGCAGCUAAACGUGAAGAAAUGUUCAUCUAGCGUAGCGUGCAUGCUAGCUGUGUAGCACGUGGCGUAGCCCGUGGGCUGGGCUCAAAGCGGGACGUAAUAGAACACCGCAAGUGCCGGUUUCUCUGUGUGUAUUUGUUUUAUAUUAUAAGGAUAAGGUAAAAGUGUUAGUAUCGCAUAAGCUAAAGAGAGAGUGUUUAAUGUGAAAAGGAAAGAGUCUUGUAUUUUUUUUAAGGUUAUUUUCCCAUGUUGUUUUACGAUGUUGUAAACAUAUUUGAUAUUUUGGUAACUCACUUUAACGACUGGUUCAGGUCAUUUGAGUAAUAUGGAGCCAUAACUGAUCGAAUUGUAUUUGUCUUAAUUGUAUAAGCUCUUAUAAAGACAUUACCGCAAAGGGAAAAUAACAUGUUUAAGUGCGAUACUGAGUGUAUAAAUGUGUUAUUAUGCUUUUCAUGUUCAUUACAACUAUGGCCGACACUGAGCUGCAUCGUGUCCGUGUCGUUUGUCAUAUUUCCUCUUUUACAGGGGCGUAACAUUUGGAGGCACCGCUGGGAUAGUGUGCAGCGUGGUUUAGCGUCUUCAACAGAUGUCCCCCGCCGUCACACAUCCCCUUUAAACAACCCGGAACAUCAGAAGCAGGUGGCGAAUCAGCGAUAGUGGGAGUCCGAUUGUCUGGGGCAGCUUGCAUGUGAUCUGAGGAAUCUGAGUCAGGUCUCCAAUAUGACCCUGGGUUAGUGCAGAAGAUGUUUCUUCACACUGUGCUAACUGGCCUGCAGAAUGACAACAUCAGGCGGGAUCUUCAGCCUUACUUGGAGCAAACUGACAUCGCUGAUGAACUGUUGCUUGAGCGAGUGAAUACAGCAUGUGCUUAUGAGACCGAGAGGCAGAACAAGAAAAAAUUAUCAGGACAACAAAGACCUGUUACCAUCCAUUCAGUGCAGUCCAGCGAAGCUUCUGCUGAAAAGAAUGAAAAUAUACCAACUCAACAAAAGUCUAAAGUUUCCCCAUCUGUUCUUUCCCAGCUUGAGGAAAUUAAAUCUGAGAUGGCUCUGUUGAAAGAUCUUAGAGCUGAAGUGUCUCACAUUAGGGAGUCCAUACAACCACCGCCAGCAGGGGGGGCCGAUGGCGCAUUAGGACUGCAAUUCUCAGGUCAGCAGAUGCAGGAUCCGCCACAGGGCUACUGGUUUUCUGCGGGCUCCAGACACAGAGGAGGAACUGCUCAGUAUCAGCAAAGGUUUGCCCCACAGCCCAACUUCCCCGCAUCACGUCGUGAUCAAAGGAGAAAAUGUUUUAGUUGCCAACAGAGUGGCGCUGAAGAUUAUUGCACGCACUGUUAUAGGUGUGGCAGCAGCGAGCACUUUCUGGCUGGUUGUCGAGCAAGGGGACAGAGACAGUUCGGAGGUGAGGCUUUAAACGGGGGAAGGUCACUCGCACGGGACAGGGAGUGACUAGUAAUGUAGCAAUGUCCCAGCAAUGUGCAUCCUGUAAGAAAGUGUUUUGCGAGUCUACGCCAUGUCAAGUUGAUAAUUUGGCAGCACACAAAAGAGAAUGUCAAGCACUCCCAUGUAUGACUACAAACACCGCUCCAAAGAAGGACAAAAGGGCAAAAAGGGCGCCAUUGGUAGGAGGAAAACACAUUGUUGAUUGCUUCAUCCAAGGCCAAAGUGUUCAGGCUCUGUGGGACUCAGGCUCCCAAGUGACCAUAAUUGAUGAGAGAUGGAAAGAAACACACCUGCCAAAUGCAAGACUAAGAGGCAUAACCGAAAUUCUAGAUACAACACAGACUUUUGACAUACAGGCAGCAAAUGGGGAGAGUAUGCCAUACACUGGUUGGGUCGAGGUAACUUUUAGAUUAGCUUCAGGAGCUGCAUCCAACACAGAAGUUAUUGUCCCCACACUUGUAAUGAAGGGUGGUAAGCUUGUCCAACCUAUCAUUGGGUCUAAUGUGAUUAGGAUUAUUAUAGACAGUGAGCUGAAACAGUCAAACACCACUGACAGGGAAGGGUUAAGUAGAACAGUAAGGGCAGCCUUUCCAGGACAAGCAGCAGCCUUUGUGGAGCAGGUAACUGCUGCGGUAGAACAAGUCAGCACCACACUAGGGGAUGAGUAUAUCGUCAGGACAAAAAGGGGGAGGAUUAACAUACCAAAACGCACAUCAGUCAGAGUUGAGUGUCAUGUAAACAUGGAUUCUCCACAUGAAGACAACAUAUUUCUCUUCGAGCCAGAUGUGAACCCCCGCUGGGCAGAGGGACUUGAACUAUGUGACAUGCUGGUGAAAGUAGAUAAGGACAGAAAAAAACCCUCUAUUAGUGUAAGUGUGCAGAAUAUUACAGACCAUGACAUGAUGUUACCAGGGAAAACUGUAGUCGGGACUGUCCAGCAGGUCCAAACAGUCUACCCCGCCUCCAUACUAGAGGGGUCACGCCCUCCGCCUUCAGCUACAACAAAUCACAUCAGCGCUGAAAAGGAUCUGACUACAGGCAAUGUUUGGGAUCCACCUGUGGAUUUGGGCCACCUCAGUGAGCCAGAACGUGAGAUAGUUAGCAAGAUGUUACGAGAGGAGUGUGCCUCCUUUUCAAGAACAGAGGAUGAUAUCGGUUGUAUCGAAAAACUUCAACUCAGCAUUUCCCUGAAAGACACGGAGCCUGUCGCAAAAGCAUACCUCUCGGUGCCUAAGCCACUUUAUCGGGAAAUGAAAGACUACUUGAAUGAUCUCAUCGCUCAGGGUUGGGUGGAGAAGUCUAAUUCACCGUAUGCAUCACCAGUCGUGUGCGUUCGAAAGAAGGAUGGGAGUCUCCGACUGUGCAUAGACUUUCGCGAAGUGAACAGAAAGACCCUCCCUGACCGCCAGCCUAUCCCCAGAGUGCAAGACAUAAUGGAUGGCCUCGGAGGAAACUGUUGGUUCUCUCUGUUAGAUCAAGGGAAAGCGUACCAUCAGGGCUUUAUGACGAAGGAGAGCAGACCCAUAACCGCUUUUGUCACACCAUGGGGUCUUUAUGAGUGGAUCAGAAUUC
Molecule: long non-coding RNA, 3212 nt
Organism: Gasterosteus aculeatus aculeatus (three-spined stickleback)
Lineage: Eukaryota; Metazoa; Chordata; Actinopteri; Perciformes; Gasterosteidae
Source: Ensembl